GACGAACGCUGGCGGCGUGCUUAACACAUGCAAGUCGAACGGAAAGGCCCUGCUUUUGUGGGGUGCUCGAGUGGCGAACGGGUGAGUAACACGUGAGUAACCUGCCCUUGACUUUGGGAUAACUUCAGGAAACUGGGGCUAAUACCGGAUAGGAGCUCCUGCUGCAUGGUGGGGGUUGGAAAGUUUCGGCGGUUGGGGAUGGACUCGCGGCUUAUCAGCUUGUUGGUGGGGUAGUGGCUUACCAAGGCUUUGACGGGUAGCCGGCCUGAGAGGGUGACCGGCCACAUGGGGACUGAGAUACGGCCUAGACUCCUACGGGAGGCAGCAGUGGGGAAUAUUGCACAAUGGGCGGAAGCCUGAUGCAGCAACGCCGCGUGCGGGAUGACGGCCUUCGGGUUGUAAACCGCUUUCGCCUGUGACGAAGCGUGAGUGACGGUAAUGGGUAAAGAAGCACCGGCUAACUACGUG
RNAcentral lists this ribosomal RNA (468 nucleotides) under uncultured bacterium. RNAcentral describes it as "partial 16S ribosomal RNA". It matches the Rfam family "Bacterial small subunit ribosomal RNA", at positions 28 to 507 of the family's 1533-position model. The record is from RNAcentral.